AAGUCGAGCGGACCGACGGGAGCUUGCUCCCUUAGGUCAGCGGCGGACGGGUGAGUAACACGUGGGUAACCUGCCUGUAAGACUGGGAUAACUCCGGGAAACCGGGGCUAAUACCGGAUGCUUGAUUGAACCGCAUGGUUCAAUCAUAAAAGGUGGCUUUCAGCUACCACUUACAGAUGGACCCGCGGCGCAUUAGCUAGUUGGUGAGGUAACGGCUCACCAAGGCGACGAUGCGUAGCCAACCUGAGAGGGUGGUCGGCCACACUGGGACUGAGACACGGCCCAGACUCCUACGGGAGGCAGCAGUAGGGAAUCUUCCGCAAUGGACGAAAGUCUGACGGAGCAACGCCGCGUGAGUGAUGAAGGUUUUCGGAUCGUAAAACUCUGUUGUUAGGGAAGAACAAGUACCGUUCGAAUAGGGCGGCACCUUGACGGUACCUAACCAGAAAGCCACGGCUAACUACGUGCCAGCAGCCGCGGUAAUACGUAGGUGGCAAGCGUUGUCCGGAAUUAUUGGGCGUAAAGCGCGCGCAGGCGGUUUCUUAAGUCUGAUGUGAAAGCCCCCGGCUCAACCGGGGAGGGUCAUUGGAAACUGGGGAACUUGAGUGCAGAAGAGGAGAGUGGAAUUCCACGUGUAGCGGUGAAAUGCGUAGAGAUGUGGAGGAACACCAGUGGCGAAGGCGACUCUCUGGUCUGUAACUGACGCUGAGGCGCGAAGCGUGGGGAGCGAACAGG
Molecule: ribosomal RNA, 735 nt
Filed under: uncultured Bacillus sp.
Lineage: Bacteria; Bacillati; Bacillota; Bacilli; Caryophanales; Bacillaceae
Description: bacterial SSU rRNA
Rfam family: Bacterial small subunit ribosomal RNA
Source: RNAcentral